RNAcentral lists this ribosomal RNA (301 nucleotides) under uncultured bacterium. RNAcentral's name for it is "partial 16S ribosomal RNA". It matches the Rfam family "Bacterial small subunit ribosomal RNA", at positions 509 to 807 of the family's 1533-position model. The record is from RNAcentral.
CAGUCGCCGCGGUAAUACGUAGGUGGCAAGCGUUGUCCGGAAUUAUUGGGCGUAAAGCGCGAGCAGGUGGUUUAAUAAGUCUGAUGUGAAAGCCCACGGCUCAACCGUGGAGGGUCAUUGGAAACUGUUAAACUUGGGUGCAGGAGAGAAAAGUGGAAUUCCUAGUGUAGCGGUGAAAUGCGUAGAGAUUAGGAGGAACACCAGUGGCGAAGGCGGCUUUUUGGCCUGUAACUGACACUGAGGCGCGAAAGCGUGGGGAGCAAACAGGAUUAGAUACCCCCGUAGUCCCUGUCUCUUAUAC